AGGAUGAACGCUGGCGGCGUGCUUAACACAUGCAAGUCGAACGGUGAAAGAGAGCUUGCUCUCUGGAUCAGUGGCGAACGGGUGAGUAACACGUGAGCAAUCUGCCCUUGACUCUGGGAUAAGCGCUGGAAACGGCGUCUAAUACCGGAUACGAGCUGCGAAGGCAUCUUCAGCAGCUGGAAAGAACUUCGGUCAAGGAUGAGCUCGCGGCCUAUCAGCUUGUUGGUGAGGUAAUGGCUCACCAAGGCGUCGACGGGUAGCCGGCCUGAGAGGGUGACCGGCCACACUGGGACUGAGACACGGCCCAGACUCCUACGGGAGGCAGCAGUGGGGAAUAUUGCACAAUGGGCGCAAGCCUGAUGCAGCAACGCCGCGUGAGGGACGACGGCCUUCGGGUUGUAAACCUCUUUUAGCAGGGAAGAAGCGAAAGUGACGGUACCUGCAGAAAAAGCACCGGCUAACUACGUGCCAGCAGCCGCGGUAAUACGUAGGGUGCAAGCGUUAUCCGGAAUUAUUGGGCGUAAAGAGCUCGUAGGCGGUUUGUCACGUCUGCUGUGAAAACUGGAGGCUCAACCUCCAGCCUGCAGUGGGUACGGGCAGACUAGAGUGCGGUAGGGGAGAUUGGAAUUCCUGGUGUAGCGGUGGAAUGCGCAGAUAUCAGGAGGAACACCGAUGGCGAAGGCAGAUCUCUGGGCCGUAACUGACGCUGAGGAGCGAAAGGGUGGGGAGCAAACAGGCUUAGAUACCCUGGUAGUCCACCCCG
Molecule: ribosomal RNA, 763 nt
Filed under: Microbacterium sp.
Lineage: Bacteria; Bacillati; Actinomycetota; Actinomycetes; Micrococcales; Microbacteriaceae
Description: bacterial SSU rRNA
Rfam family: Bacterial small subunit ribosomal RNA
Source: RNAcentral